Molecule: unclassified non-coding RNA, 261 nt
Filed under: Hevea brasiliensis (rubber tree)
Lineage: Eukaryota; Viridiplantae; Streptophyta; Magnoliopsida; Malpighiales; Euphorbiaceae
Source: RNAcentral
CAGGUAUAAGAGGUAAAUUGAUCUUUCCUCCGAAACAAAACCUAUAUGACCUAAAAGCGGCCAUUGGAUCGUCUUGCAUUUUAGAAUGCUGUUUCCAAUGGUCACACGGGGCCCAUGUGACCAUAUGGCUUUAGCUCAUAAGUCAAUUAAUGACUGAGAUUGCCACUUACAGAAACCAUUAGAUGUGAUCUGCUGACCAUUCACUCAUCAGAGAACAGUCGCUCGCCAUUCACAUUCACUUUUCAUCCUAGUGACUUCGUG